GAUAAUGAAGUUCAAGUCUGUUCCAGAAACUUUCGUAUGGUCUGCUGAAACACUACCAAGUAUCACAGACGACGCCAAACAUCACCAAAAACAGAUACAAAGGCAUCUACCCAUAUGAUGAUUACAGAGUAAAAGUUUUUGGUGGGGACACGGACUACAUCAACGCCAGCUUCAUCGACGGUUACAAAAAACGACACGAAUACAUUGCUGCAUUAGGUCCGAUGUCUACGCAACUUGGUGACUUAAGUGCUUUCUGGAGAAUGGUUUGGCAACAAAAAGUAGAGAAAAUCGUUAUGGUAACAAAUCUAGUGGAAAAAAGG
Long non-coding RNA from Dreissena polymorpha, 320 nucleotides. RefSeq lists it as uncharacterized. The record is from RefSeq and is a predicted model, not a curated record. The transcript has 4 exons. NCBI's taxonomy places the organism in Eukaryota, Metazoa, Mollusca, Bivalvia, Myida, Dreissenidae.